GGGGAAUAUUGCACAAUGGGGGAAACCCUGAUGCAGCCAUGCCGCGUGUGUGAAGAAGGCCUUCGGGUUGUAAAGCACUUUCAGCGAGGAGGAAAGGGGUGAUGCUAAUACCAUCAUCCUGUGACGUUACUCGCAGAAGAAGCACCGGCUAACUCCGUGCCAGCAGCCGCGGUAAUACGGAGGGUGCAAGCGUUAAUCGGAAUAACUGGGCGUAAAGCGCACGCAGGCGGUCGGAUAAGUCAGAUGUGAAAGCCCCGGGCUCAACCUGGGAACUGCAUUUGAAACUGUUCGACUAGAGUCUUGUAGAGGGGGGUAGAAUUCCAGGUGUAGCGGUGAAAUGCGUAGAGAUCUGGAGGAAUACCGGUGGCGAAGGCGGCCCCCUGGACAAAGACUGACGCUCAGGUGCGAAAGCGUGGGGAGCAAAC
Molecule: ribosomal RNA, 425 nt
Filed under: uncultured bacterium
Lineage: Bacteria
Description: bacterial SSU rRNA
Rfam family: Bacterial small subunit ribosomal RNA
Source: RNAcentral